UACGGAGGGGGCUAGCGUUGUUCGGAAUUACUGGGCGUAAAGCGCACGUAGGCGGCUUUGUAAGUUAGAGGUGAAAGCCCAGGGCUUAACCCUGGAAUUGCCUUUAAGACUGCAUCGCUAGAAUCGUGGAGAGGUGAGUGGAAUUCCGAGUGUAGAGGUGAAAUUCGUAGAUAUUCGGAAGAACACCAGUGGCGAAGGCGACUCACUGGACACGUAUUGACGCUGAGGCACGAAAGCGUGGGGAGCAAACAGGG
RNAcentral lists this ribosomal RNA (254 nucleotides) under uncultured bacterium. RNAcentral describes it as "partial 16S ribosomal RNA". It matches the Rfam family "Bacterial small subunit ribosomal RNA", at positions 524 to 777 of the family's 1533-position model. The record is from RNAcentral.